RNAcentral lists this long non-coding RNA (336 nucleotides) under Dermacentor andersoni. RNAcentral describes it as "uncharacterized LOC126535691". The record is from RNAcentral. Lineage: Eukaryota; Metazoa; Arthropoda; Arachnida; Ixodida; Ixodidae.
GGGAUAGAGCACGAGCACAUCGAAAAUGGAUUUCACCGCUCUUUCUGCGCACGCGCGAGGAGCAGUGGUUGCGAGAGAGAAAUGUGGGGACUUUUGGAGCUCAAAAUUUCUCGUCGUUUAGGUACUACGGGGAAGAAAACCGUUUGCUCCGUUUGUCCCUAGCCGAGCUUGCAGCACAGAAUCGACAGGAUGCGUGGCCGGCAAGGCGAAAAAGCCGCGUCCGAGCUGUCAUCUUCUCGGAAGCAGGCACUCAUGCUUGGAGACCUGCAGAGCCCGAACUGCAGCAUGUAUGCCGAAAUAAACAGCUAUUGCCUAUUUCAAAUAGAACCAAUGUAA